RNAcentral lists this transfer RNA (87 nucleotides) under Nocardia wallacei. RNAcentral describes it as "tRNA-Ser". Lineage: Bacteria; Bacillati; Actinomycetota; Actinomycetes; Mycobacteriales; Nocardiaceae. The record is from RNAcentral.
CCGAUCCUGGCCGAGGAGCGGCGACUACUGCUGCUGGCCUGCAGUCGCGCGCGGCGGUCGCUGCUGGUCACCGCGGUCGAAUCGGUC